GACGAACCGUGCGAACGUUGUUCGGAAUCACUGGGCUUAAAGGGCGCGUAGGCGGGCGGUCAAGUCAGAGGUGAAAUCCCACGGCUCAACCGUGGAAGUGCCCCUGAUACUGAUCGCCUCGAGGGAGGUAGGGGCGUGCGGAACUUCCGGUGGAGCGGUGAAAUGCGUAGAUAUCGGAAGGAACACCGAUGGCGAAAGCAGCGCGCUGGACCUUUACUGACGCUGAUGCACGAAAGCUAGGGGAGCAAACAGG
Molecule: ribosomal RNA, 253 nt
Filed under: uncultured bacterium
Lineage: Bacteria
Description: partial 16S ribosomal RNA
Rfam family: Bacterial small subunit ribosomal RNA
Source: RNAcentral